GGGGAUGUAGCUCAUAAGGUAGAGCGCGCGCUUUGCAUGUGAGAGGUACGGGGAUAGAUACCUUGCAUCUCCA
Molecule: transfer RNA, 73 nt
Filed under: Ipomoea nil (Japanese morning glory)
Lineage: Eukaryota; Viridiplantae; Streptophyta; Magnoliopsida; Solanales; Convolvulaceae
Rfam family: tRNA
About the family: Transfer RNA (tRNA) molecules are approximately 80 nucleotides in length. Their secondary structure includes four short double-helical elements and three loops (D, anti-codon, and T loops).
Source: Rfam by way of RNAcentral